This is a long non-coding RNA of Crotalus tigris (Tiger rattlesnake), 4104 nucleotides long. RefSeq lists it as uncharacterized. The record is from RefSeq and is a predicted model, not a curated record. NCBI's taxonomy places the organism in Eukaryota, Metazoa, Chordata, Lepidosauria, Squamata, Viperidae. The transcript is spliced from 3 exons.
CUGCCUGCCUUUCCAGCAGCUGGGAGUGGUAUAGGGGUGGGUGGGGCUGGGUCCCUAAUAUCCCAGCCUUCCGCAGCCCCCUGCCCAAGAAAAAAGCGGGCUGGGUGGAUAGAAGAGCUGGAUCCCACCCCCCCACACACACCGCAAAGAAAUAUUUUUUGGGUGAUGGUACAGGGCAGAACCAACCUUGGGAUCCUGGGAAUUCCCAUGGCUUCUUGUCAGAUAGGAGGGCAGCUUGUCAAUGCACGCGUGGGAUGGAGGGGCUGCCCCGUUCGAUGCCGGUCAGUACAACUCGCCUUUCUGUGUAGUUGCCCCAAAGAGGAGGGUGAACUGCUCCUGAGUAAUUAGCACACGCUAUUAUGGCAUCAUCAUUCUUGGAGACAGGAAUUGCAGAAGUGGCACUAUAGCAGUUGGUAAGAGAUUGAGAAAAGAUGCACCAAGAGACUUUUUGUGAAAUGGGCAGGGGGAUUGGAGGGACCCUAGUGUACAUGCUCCAUUGUGCAAGCCUGAAGGAGGCCACGUCUGUUGCCAACCCCCUGAAGUUAAUGUGAGGGGAAAAAUCUUCAGGCUCCACCUAGAGGACGGAUGGACAUCAAUUAAUUAAACAUAUAUAUAUCUUAUAUCAGUAGAAGAGAAUAUGUGUAGUUCAGGAUUGAACGGUGGAAUCCAUGGUGCUUUUUGAGCUUGAUUGUUUUCUUGCAGACAUUUCAUUACCUAACUAGGUAACAUCUUCGGUGCUCAAAGGGAGGGUUUCCCCCUCUUAUUUCUGUACAGCUAGGCCUCAACUUAUAGCCAUUCAUUUAGUGACCAUUCAAAGUUACAUUGGCACUGAAACCGUCAUAAGUGAGUCAGUUGCCAAGUGCCCAGGUUUUGAUCACAUGGCCAUGGGGAGGCUGCAGUGGUCAGAAGUGUGAAAAACAGAAGCCACUUUUUUCAAUGCCGUUGUAACUUGGAGCAGUCACUUAAAAAAAAUGGCUGUAAGUCGAGGACUACCUGCAGCCCAUCUUCAAUCCCAACUAACUUUCCGGGUUGUUGAAAGGAUAAAAGCAAAGGAAGGAAUUCAUGUUAAAAGUAAAAUAAAAAAAUAAAAGAUAAAUAAGCUUUUUAAGAAAGAGAUUGGUACAGAUAGUAGAAAGCUUGCUCCAAAAUUCAACUUUGAGAUUGGAAGCAAAUUUUUUAUGCUGGUCAGAGGUGGCUGGAAUAUAUUUACCUUUUAUGAAGCUUGGAGGUAGACCUUGAUGACCGAGUGAGGAUUUGAAUUUGGUUGUCUCUGGUCUUUAUCUCCCACUCUUGCCACUAUGUUGCCCUGAGUUGGGCAAUGGUCCAUCCAUUCCUGCAUCCCAGAAGAUGGCCAGCUAAAGAUGCUUGUGAAGAGGAAAGAAGAAGAGGGCUGGUCAAUAGAACAGGGGGAUGAGCACAUUUGACAGCUUAUUUCUUUCUCUUUCUUGGGCGGGAUUUCCUGGAGGGAUAUCCAGCAUGAUUUCUUUGAUGGAACAAAGGGAAAGACUGCAGGUUGUGAAUGAAAACCUGGGCCAAGAACCAGAAGAAAAGGAAAGCAAACAAGAUGCCCACGCAGAGGCUGGAAGGACUACAGAGAAUGAAGACUGGGAAGAAGAGGAAGAUGAAGAAGAAUCUCUAGUUGCCAAUGAGAGCCAGGAUCCCAAAGGUCCACUUUGAGGUCCCCCCACAAGUCCUGGACUGGGAGGAGGCGUGUGAGGCUCUACACAGCAGGAGUGUCCAGGAUGGGGACAGGAAAACCAGUCCCCAAGGGGAAAACACCGCCAGGGGGAGACAUUCCUGAGGUAACCAAUAUUAUUGUCUCAGCUUCCGUCGUGCGGGUACGAUCUCCCCCCCCCCCGAUUCUUUUGACUGCUGAUUGCGGGAAGCGAUUUACUCUGAGUUCCCACCUGAUCCGGCACCAGUGGGAACACAUUGGAGAGAGACCUUUUGGGUGCCGAUCCUGCACCAAGAGCUUCUCUCAGAGGUUGGACUUGGUGCGCCACAAGCGUACACAUGCUGGGGUCAAGCUGUACUUGUGCACCCUUCUCGGAGAAUUCCCAUCUCAUCCGCCACCAGAUGAUCCAUUCCGGGGAGAAACCUUUUAAGUGCAACGUGUGUGGCAAGCAUUACGGGGACAGCUCCUACCUCACGGUGCACCAGCGAGACCACAUGGGGGCUUGGCCUUACCACUGCACUCUCUCUGUGGCAAAGGCUUGGCCGAUCCUCACCUCUCAUUCGUCACCAGCAAGUACAACAGGGACCCAGCACCUCUCCCUGGAGUCAGACCUCGUCCCCGGGACGUUUGGACAGCAUUUGCCUGCCUAUCGGGGGAUGGGGACUCAGAACAAAUUCUCUCUCCUCAGAGGACAUCCACGUCACGGGCGCCAUCCUUUGCAUCAUCCGCGCUGUCCCUGCCGCCCCCUCCCUGGAUUGACCCUUGUUCCAUGAGGAUUUUGGGAUGGCAAUGGGGGAUAGAAUAAAAAAGGGCAGUCAAAUGGCAGAGAAGCAUAAUGGAGGUGAACCUGCUGGAAGAACACAGGAUUGGGUGUAUAGUGGAGAUCACCUUGAUUGCUAAGGCGAUCCGAUGGAGGAAUAACUCUUGAUUUUGUGACAGCUGAUGGACCACACCAGAAAGAUCGACGGAGGGUGGAAGAAGCUCUUGGCUGAGAUUAUUUUGUAGUUGGAAAUGAUGAGAGUUAGACAACUGGAGGGUCUUUGGCUUAUUCAAGUUGAUUCCAUAUAAUUGAUUAUUAGAACGGCACAACAGGAUCGUAUUCCAAAGCCAUGGAUCAAUUCCCCGAGUUACAAAAUUGAGUCCCUUGGUUUGGUUGGGGUAAUUAACUGCCGCGAGAGGGAUGUGUUGAUUGCUAAGGUAAUCUGUGGGGCAAUAAUUUGGUUUCUGAAGCAGCACUGAAAAAGAAGAAUGUUGUUGACCCAUCAGUUGAAUAGGAUAUUUGCUUCCUAGGGCCAGAAUAGGGUUUUUUUUGGCAGCAGGUAACUGAGAAAAGAAUGUUGCCUUGGUAUCCAGGUAACUAAAAUCAUGGAAAUCUUUAGUAAACCUUUGAUUGUUGAAAGAGGAAGAUAAAAAAAAAUGGCUAUGUCAUUGUACGUGAUUGGUUGUCAUGGUAAUAGAAGAACAUUACAUGGGUUGAUGGCUAAUGAAGUAGAAAGCAAGGAAUCUGACAACUAGCUUUAUUUAGCUGCUUCACCAAAGGUAGAACUUAAUUGAUUGAGAUGAAGUCCAUCAGUUUCUGUGGUUGUGCUUACAGAAACAUCAGCCUAUGCUUAAUGCUAUGUUUGCUGAUUUGGGAUCCAAAUGCAUCUUGGAAAUUGUCUGCUUUAACCAGUUUAUUAUAGGCAUCUAUCCCAAUCUGGAGCCUUCCAGGUGCAUAGCUCUACAACUCCCAUCGCUCUAGGUCAGCAUGGGCAGUCGCUAAGUUGCCCAAAUAAAAUAGAAAGUCAGGGGAAAGCUAUACUACACAGUUGUCAGGCUACUUCUGUUUGUAUCUAGAUUUCACCACUUUUGACUGGCCUUUUGGUGACGGUUAGGCUCAUGAGAAGGGAGAAGAUAAAUGAUCAUUCAACUCUGGUAUUGUCUACAUCAGAGUUCCUCAACUUUUGGGGGUUGGCAACCCAGAGUGUGGGGAGGGGGGGAAAAGGGAUGGUUUUAUGCGGGGGUGAACAUCUGCAACAUUCGCGCGAGCGGGGCACAAACAUGAUGCUCGUGUGAGUGGGGCCGCGAACACCCACAAUGCUUGUGAUGCUCGCGCAAGUGGGGCCAUGAACGCCUGUGAUGCUCAUGAUACGCGAGUGGGCAGCAAACAUCCACGAUGCUCAUGACACACAAGUGGGGCUGCAAACACCCACGAUGCUCUUAGUGACACUCGCGCGAGUGGGGCUGUGUGUGUGUACACAAAUGCGCACACCAGCCAGCCACAGAGGAAACGCAGUGGUCAAUAGGCCGUGGCCCGGUAGUGGUUGGGGACCCCUGGUCUACAUUGCUUGGUGGUAGAUCUUCAGGGAGGUUUUUUUUCCUUGACUGCAGAGUCCAUGGUGCUCUCCGAGCUUGGUUGUUUGCUUGCAGAUGUUUCGUUACCCAACUAG